RNAcentral lists this ribosomal RNA (301 nucleotides) under uncultured bacterium. RNAcentral describes it as "partial 16S ribosomal RNA". It matches the Rfam family "Bacterial small subunit ribosomal RNA", at positions 509 to 807 of the family's 1533-position model. The record is from RNAcentral.
CAGUCGCCGCGGGAAUACGUAGGGUGCGAGCGUUAAUCGGAAUUACUGGGCGUAAAGCGUGCGCAGGCGGUUCGUUAAGACAGAUGUGAAAUCCCCGGGCUUAACCUGGGAACUGCAUUUGUGACUGGCGAGCUAGAGUAUGGCAGAGGGGGGUAGAAUUCCACGUGUAGCAGUGAAAUGUGUAGAGAUGUGGAGGAAUACCGAUGGCGAAGGCAGCCCCCUGGGCCAAUACUGACGCUCAUGCACGAAAGCGUGGGGAGCAAACAGGAUUAGAUACCCGUGUAGUCCCUGUCUCUUAUAC